CAAUUGGCUAAAGAUUGUAUCCUCCCCUAGGACCCUGCCAAGUUUCUGAACCUGCUGGUGAAGGUGGUGCAGCUUCCCAAGCCACGUCCAGGACUGAGGCUCUGGGAGAUGCUGAGGGUGUGUCUGCAGGGAGGACUUCUCCAGUUCCUUUGCUGAUUCCUACAGAGAAGCCUGGCAACCAUGGCAGGGGUCCUCCAAGGGGGAAGGACCAAGCCACAGGACACCACAAACCCCAUGAUCCAUCCGAAAACAUGAGGCAAAUGCUGAAGGAAAUGCAGCAGGCAGGAGAAGGUGGGUGCAUUUCCCUCAUGCUUCCCCUGGGACUCAGC
Long non-coding RNA from Passer domesticus (house sparrow), 329 nucleotides. RefSeq lists it as uncharacterized. The record is from RefSeq and is a predicted model, not a curated record. NCBI's taxonomy places the organism in Eukaryota, Metazoa, Chordata, Aves, Passeriformes, Passeridae. The transcript has 4 exons.